CCUUUUACAGUUAGCUUAAAGUUGGAUUUUUUUUUGAAGGUUCAUGGUAUUAGAGUUGAACAGAUUAUGGUUCUUUUCGGAAAUUUUCAUACUAUGCUUUGAGUUUUAUGCGAACAAGUUAUGCUUGUGCUUUAUGUUCUAUACAUGAUAAGGUUAUUUCCCAUAUGAUCAUGUUAUGAUGUUCUAAGUGGAUGAAAAAAAUGAGGUAUAUAGGUGAGUAUGUGCUACCUGAUUCCUUGUGGCUAGUGGAUUGGGAAAAACUCCCGCAUCUAAUGGUCUUUGAGAGGCAUAACGACCUCUACUCACUCGCUUACUCUCGGUUGUGAAUUAUGGGGAGAAAGAAAGAAAUUUUGAAGUGGUGAGUGGUGAAGGGAAACAAAUAUUGAAGGGGAAAACAUAUAUAUAAGUUGUUGCUACAAUUUGUUGAGAUAUAGCAGAAAUCAAAUCAGCAUUUUUGGCUCUUUGUUCACAAUGAUUGGCUAUUUGUGGGGCAGUACACCAGUUGUACUCGUGAAUUAUUAAUGGGCUGAUCCUAUUGUGCAGCGAAUCCCCUAUUUGCAGCUUCUUAGUGUGCUUUGAACUUAAUUUGUUUUGGUGGCAUUUGGAGUACGAGUACUUGGGUAAUAACUCCCUUUUGUUUGAUUGUGCUAGGUAUACAUAGAGUAAUGCAGGAGCUGUUGGGGUGUGGAAGGGAGUGCAGAGCUGACUUUGCUCAUUUAGCAAGACAUAGGUUAUCCAUUUGUGAGGAAUACAGCUGCUGCUCAGUGAGAGGAGCGCUGAUUUCUUUUGCAGAAGAUGCAGCUAGAAGUGGCAUGUAACUUAGUUGCUAUGCCCAUAUGUAUUCAACAAUAUAUUCUAUGUAUGUUUACCUCCUUGUUUAGUAG
Non-coding RNA from Salvia hispanica, 884 nucleotides. NCBI's taxonomy places the organism in Eukaryota, Viridiplantae, Streptophyta, Magnoliopsida, Lamiales, Lamiaceae. The record is from RefSeq and is a predicted model, not a curated record.